This 650-nucleotide long non-coding RNA is filed under the name Homo sapiens (human). RNAcentral's name for it is "non-protein coding GPC6-AS1:1". Lineage: Eukaryota; Metazoa; Chordata; Mammalia; Primates; Hominidae. The record is from RNAcentral.
GUGUGGAUUUAGCAAUUACUUAGCUCAGCAGAGAUAAUGUACCCCAUAAAAUGGCAGAGACACUGGCCAGGGCUGGGCCCAGGAAUUCAGUAUGGAUAAUAUUCUAAUUCUGUAUGACAAGCUUUACCAUAAAUUUGAAUCUGUAAUUUCUGCUUUGAUCAAUUUGAUGUAUAAGGAGUGGAGCCAGUCAAAUUUGGAAAUAAAAUUUCGAGGUUAGAAUUCCAAUUAUGCCGGUGAUUCACUGCAUAAAACAUACGAGCCUCAGUUUCCUUUUUCAUCUGAAAUAAAAGGAGAUUGACUCCAGGAUCUUCCAAGGCUGCUAUUCCAAGAGCAGGUUCAUAAAGGUGAUUGUCAAGCUCCAGUGCAAAUGCUAAUAAUCUGGAAUUUUCCUUCAAACCAUCUGCCUAUGCAAAAUACAACUGGGUCACACUGGAAAAUCUUGAAGAUAUAAACCUUUUGCCAUGUAAAUGUGAAGGAGGAAAAAAAUGGAAGAGAAUCUACGAUUUUAAAAGGCAUAUUUUAGUGGGUUACAAUAUGUUAUAAUUGAUAUUUCUUACUGGCCUAAAAACAACACUAAAAUAAUCCUGAAGAGCAGAGUAGCUGUAAAAAAAAAUCGCAAUAAAAAAAUCCUCCCAUAAUAAGCUAAAAUG